CAUACACAUUAUGUAGUGUAUAUUAUAUAGUAAUUCAUUUUCAUAUUCUCUGAUCCCCCAAAUCUUUACCAGCUAGUUUGUUAUCUGCUAUGGUAAAAUUACAAAUAGUUUAAUAAAUGCCUCUUUCUAAUAAAAACAUCCUCACUAAUUUACAUUGUAUGUAAUCAUUAUUUUCUUUUGAAAUAGCAGAAAUCUAUAUCAGGUGUACCAAUCACAAAUGCAUUCAGUUUCACCAGAAAAUGGAAAGAGAUGAGGCAGAAAAAUAGCAAGAAGUGGAUUGUAGAGUGAUACUCCACUAAAUGAACUCAAAUAUUGUUUUGUCGUUAUUAUUUAAUAUUGGAUUGAGCUUCAAAAAAAGAAAAAUGGGGGAAAAAACAUACAACAGAUUUCUACUAUUCAGUUUGCCUCAGUACCAUCUGUGAUUUUUUUCUAGAAAGAUUCUGUUAUGAAUUUUAAUAGUAUAAAUUUAGUUUAAAAUGACAAAAUAUUCACUUGCUUUUAAUUUUUAAAAUUCUAACAUCUUCCAUCUUCAAAAUUUGAAUUAUUUGACGUUAAUUCAGCCUACUAUAGAGCAUCAAGGCCCAGAUGAUCAUUCACUUUCCAGAUUAUUGCUGUUUAUUUUUCUUGCAUUUAAGUCAUUCUAUUUCUAUCAGUACUUAAUUGCUUUCUCAUUUAUCAAAUAAACAUUUGCUAAUAUGUAUCAGAGACUGUGGAAGGUGUUGAGCAUAUAAAGGAUUUUUAAUGUGAUCCCUCCUCUUAGGAAUCUCAGUACGGUAAAAAAAAAGAAAAAGAAAAAGAAAGAACGAAAGCAAAAGGGUGGGGUGGUGGGAGCUUUUACUCUUUUGCUUUUGUAUCUGUAAUGAAAGGGCUACUGGAACUAUACUAAUAAAAUUUGACCAUAAUUCAGAAAUUUAUUUUCUAUGCUUUGCUUCCAUCCUGUUUACUUUAUAUAAUUAAACAUUGGCUAUAAUAAACAUCUAAUUUCACACAGAAAGCUGAUGGAAUCUUCUAAACUCCUUAAAAAUAAAAUCAUGCAGUGUCCUCUCAAUCAAAUAUGAUGAUAAUUUAAUUUUAUUAUUUUGAAUGCAGAGUACGAUGCUGUGAGUGACAGGGCAAGUGGAAAACAUUUCUAUUUAAUACAGUGUUUAGCUAGGGAAUUCAGGUUACUGAUUGGCAUGUAAGUGACUAAAAGCUAUUUUCUGGGUUAAUAAUUUUAACAAAUAUUUAUCUGAUUCCAAGAGCCAUUUUACGUUCAGAC
Molecule: long non-coding RNA, 1258 nt
Filed under: Equus caballus (horse)
Lineage: Eukaryota; Metazoa; Chordata; Mammalia; Perissodactyla; Equidae
Description: lncRNA (ENSECAG00000057798.1)
Source: RNAcentral